Long non-coding RNA from Nannospalax galili (Upper Galilee mountains blind mole rat), 331 nucleotides. RefSeq lists it as uncharacterized. The record is from RefSeq and is a predicted model, not a curated record. Lineage: Eukaryota; Metazoa; Chordata; Mammalia; Rodentia; Spalacidae. The transcript has 3 exons.
GGGAGCUGAAGAACAGAAGAGUCCAAGAAGACAGGCGGGCUGUUUUCCUGUGCUCUCAGAAAUCCUAGCCAUGAUCCAGGGAAUACUAGUAAUAUUGAAGAAAGUUACUGAUACAUCAGGCAACUCUGCCAGUCAUGAAUUUCUCCUAAGACCCAGGUUUCCUGUUAUUUAUAGCCCAAGGCAACAGAACUAAAAGAGAGGUUACUUGUCAGUAGCCCGACGCAAGAUAUGAAAGAAAACUGCUGCAAAUAAACGUGUUUAAUAUAUUCCUGACUGAAAGUUUUAUGAUGCAUAGCACAACCUUUAAAGCAAUGUUACAGUUUUUUCUCCC